AUUGAACGCUGGCGGCAGGCCUAACACAUGCAAGUCGAGCGGUAGAGAGAAGCUUGCUUCUCUUGAGAGCGGCGGACGGGUGAGUAAUGCCUAGGAAUCUGCCUGGUAGUGGGGGAUAACGUUCGGAAACGGACGCUAAUACCGCAUACGUCCUACGGGAGAAAGCAGGGGACCUUCGGGCCUUGCGCUAUCAGAUGAGCCUAGGUCGGAUUAGCUAGUUGGUGGGGUAAUGGCUCACCAAGGCGACGAUCCGUAACUGGUCUGAGAGGAUGAUCAGUCACACUGGAACUGAGACACGGUCCAGACUCCUACGGGAGGCACCAGUGGGGAAUAUUGGACAAUGGGCGAAAGCCUGAUCCAGCCAUGCCGCGUGUGUGAAGAAGGUCUUCGGAUUGUAAAGCACUUUAAGUUGGGAGGAAGGGCAGUAAAUUAAUACUUUGCUGUUUUGACGUUACCGACAGAAUAAGCACCGGCUAACUCUGUG
This 484-nucleotide ribosomal RNA is filed under the name uncultured bacterium. RNAcentral describes it as "partial 16S ribosomal RNA". It matches the Rfam family "Bacterial small subunit ribosomal RNA", at positions 30 to 507 of the family's 1533-position model. The record is from RNAcentral.